AUGAUCCGGGAAUUGGAUGCUCUGUACAAAGAAACCGCAAAGUCUGAGCGAUAUGAUAUCAUGAAGGCUUUGAUGGAUUGCAAGAUGGCUGAGGGUAGUUCAGUUGGUGAACACGUGGUCAAAAUGAUUGGCUAUUCUGAAAGGCUUAAAGCCCUAGAAUUUCCACUUCCACCUGGCCAUAUGAUGGACAUGUUGCUUUCUUCACUCCCCCCGUCUUACGACGGUUUUGUCAUGAACUACAACAUGACAGGGAUGGAGAAGACACCGGAAGAGGUGCUCGCCAUGCUGAAAACUACAGAAGGAGGACUGCGGAAAAAUCGCAAGCAAGUGUUGCUUGUGAAUAAAACCGCCAGUUUCAAAAAGAAGAAAGGCAAGCCAAAGAAGGGCAAGGGCGCCGGUAAGACCGGCUCCCAAAGCAACUCUAAGGGCGGAGCCAAGAAUGAAACUGAGUGCUUCUACUGCAAGGGCACAGGACACUGGAAGAGAAACUGCAAGAAGUAUCUGGAAGAUAAGAAGACCGGGAAAACCGGAAAAGGGGCUUCAGAAGGUGCGCAAGCUGGCAAAGAAUGA
Molecule: ribosomal RNA, 570 nt
Filed under: Triticum aestivum (bread wheat)
Lineage: Eukaryota; Viridiplantae; Streptophyta; Magnoliopsida; Poales; Poaceae
Description: partial small subunit ribosomal RNA
Source: RNAcentral